Molecule: long non-coding RNA, 532 nt
Organism: Mandrillus leucophaeus (drill)
Lineage: Eukaryota; Metazoa; Chordata; Mammalia; Primates; Cercopithecidae
Exons: 2
Source: RefSeq, a predicted model, not a curated record
CCGGCCUGGGAGCCAGGAGGGCGAGGCGCCUGCACCUUCGGGGCCAGAUUGGAGUUCGAAGAGUGGCGGGGACCCCAGAAGCUCGGGGCCGGGGCGAUGGCUGCAGCCUCGGGAGGGUAUCUGCCAGAUCGAACCCCGGGAAAGGGAAGCAAAGGCAUGGAACCUCCGCACACUGGAUGAGAAUCCAUCUUCCACUGGAGCUGGGAAUAGACUUUGUAAAAGAUAUUAUGUAAUGGAGUCUCGGGAACCCUGAGACCUCUCCAGCGAAGCUGAAGUGAAUUAAUUAAGUGCUUUAAACGGUCUUGGUGCUGUGUUACGGGAGGGAGUGACUGGAAAGUAACAAAGCUGAAUCUUUCUCCCUGGAGUAAGGCCGAAGAUUGGAUUACUACACGCCUUGACGUGACACUAUACCCGUAGAUCUCAUGCACCAUGAAUGCCAUAUGACAUUGCCGUUUUCUUUCUCAGUUCAUGGACAAAAGUGGUGGGUGUUCAUUGUCUUCAUUGUCAAUGCAUUAAUAAAGAAGAUGUGUGG